RNAcentral lists this ribosomal RNA (305 nucleotides) under uncultured bacterium. RNAcentral describes it as "partial 16S ribosomal RNA". It matches the Rfam family "Bacterial small subunit ribosomal RNA", at positions 508 to 807 of the family's 1533-position model. The record is from RNAcentral.
ACAGCAGCCGCCGCGGUAAUACGAAGGGGGCUAGCGUUGUUCGGAUUUACUGGGCGUAAAGCGCACGUAGGCGGAUCGAUCAGUCAGGGGUGAAAUCCCAGAGCUCAACUCUGGAACUGCCUCUGAUACUGUCGAUCUGGAGUAUGGAAGAGGUGAGUGGAAUUCCGAGUGUAGAGGUGAAAUUCGUAGAUAUUCGGAGGAACACCAGUGGCGAAGGCGGCUCACUGGUCCAUUACUGACGCUGAGGUGCGAAAGCGUGGGGAGCAAACAGGAUUAGAUACCCCUGUAGUCCCUGUCUCUUAUAC